UGUUGCGAGUUAAAAAGCCCCUUGAUAAAGGCAGCAUGUGUUAAAAGCCGAGGUUCAAGACCACUUGCAACCUCUUCAUCUAAAAACUCAAAAGCAACAUCCAACUUGCCUCCACAACAAGAGUUAUAUAUAAAUAUCUCAAAAGUUAAUGCAUCAGGGGAACAAUUGCUUUCUUUCAUUUUCUGAAAUAAUUCAUAAGCAUCAGCAUUUUUACCAUUCUUUAGCAAACUGCUAAUUAUGUAGU
RNAcentral lists this unclassified non-coding RNA (244 nucleotides) under Hevea brasiliensis (rubber tree). The record is from RNAcentral. Lineage: Eukaryota; Viridiplantae; Streptophyta; Magnoliopsida; Malpighiales; Euphorbiaceae.